GAGGUCGCGCACCUGUAAGAAAAGUCCUCACUGAUCGGAGAUGCCUCCAGCGAGGACCCUCCGACGGUCAAGUCAGAGAGGAUACUAGGCAACAGUGAAAAAUCAGGGGCUCAAUGGGGAGAGAGAGAGAGCUAGAGAGCUCAAGAGCUUAAAGGCACUGGAGAGAGCUUACCAAAACUGUUGCUUUACCCCAUUUUAUAG
RNAcentral lists this long non-coding RNA (201 nucleotides) under Elaeis guineensis (African oil palm). RNAcentral describes it as "long non-coding RNA (EGUI_LNC082165)". The record is from RNAcentral. Lineage: Eukaryota; Viridiplantae; Streptophyta; Magnoliopsida; Arecales; Arecaceae.